Molecule: small nuclear RNA, 24 nt
Filed under: Arabidopsis thaliana (thale cress)
Lineage: Eukaryota; Viridiplantae; Streptophyta; Magnoliopsida; Brassicales; Brassicaceae
Description: snRNA_04753
Source: RNAcentral
GACACAACCGCAUCUGCGUUCUGC